UCCCUCAGCAAUUAUCGCCUUCUCCAAUAAUGUGGCGAACGAGUCGAUUUGAAGGACCGACACCUUGUUGAACAACCAAGGUUUUAGUCCAAGUUCGAAGCGUCGAGAUUUCCUUUCUUCAGUGUCUACUUGAUGUGUUGCGAAUCGUGCGAGUUCAUUGAACUUGGCCGCAUACUGUGCCACUGUCAUCUCCCCUUGUUUUAGUUCUAAGAACUUUACUUCCAUCCUAUUCUUCAUGCUCUUCGGGAAGUAAUUCUCGAAGAACAAGGUCUUAAACCUUUCCCAGGUUAUAGUCCCUUCUCCCGCUCUCUGUUGAUUUGCUUCCCAC
This 328-nucleotide long non-coding RNA is filed under the name Panax ginseng (ginseng). Its description in RNAcentral is "long non-coding RNA (PGIN_LNC018016)". Lineage: Eukaryota; Viridiplantae; Streptophyta; Magnoliopsida; Apiales; Araliaceae. The record is from RNAcentral.